This 335-nucleotide long non-coding RNA is filed under the name Phoenix dactylifera (date palm). Its description in RNAcentral is "long non-coding RNA (PDAC_LNC012229)". Lineage: Eukaryota; Viridiplantae; Streptophyta; Magnoliopsida; Arecales; Arecaceae. The record is from RNAcentral.
AGAUGUUGUGGGGUAAAGGUGGGGUUGGGCACCAAUAACUGUUAGGUGAGGACCCAAUGACGACUUUAUUUCCGCGGUUAUACGGUGGGUCUGACUUAACUAAGUAAUGGGACCAAUAACUGUUAGGUGAGGUCUUCAUUACUUAGAGACCAAGUACCACUGCAAUAUGCUUGAGAAGCAUUGUACAAGAGUUGUACACUCAUCCAUUUAUAUGUCACCAAUAACUAUUAGGUGAGGCGGCAUGUGAAUCGGUGAGACCGCAGUACCCACUAGAAAUCCUAGUCGCGUAGGGUUUUCGUUUCUCCAUCAGGGGAGUAUGAGGGAUUCGAGAAAAU